UACGUAGGUGGCGAGCGUUGUCCGGAUUUACUGGGCGUAAAGGGAGCGUAGGCGGACUUUUAAGUGAGAUAUGAAAUACCCGGGCUCAACUUGGGUGCUGCAUUUCAAACUGGAAGUCUAGAGUGCAGGAGAGGAGAAUGGAAUUCCUAGUGUAGCGGUGAAAUGCGUAGAGAUUAGGAAGAACACCAGUGGCGAAGGCGAUUCUCUGGACUGUAACUGACGCUGAGGCUCGAAAGCGUGGGGAGCAAACAGGAUUAGAUACCCG
RNAcentral lists this ribosomal RNA (265 nucleotides) under uncultured prokaryote. RNAcentral's name for it is "partial 16S ribosomal RNA". It matches the Rfam family "Bacterial small subunit ribosomal RNA", at positions 524 to 788 of the family's 1533-position model. The record is from RNAcentral.